Molecule: ribosomal RNA, 253 nt
Filed under: uncultured bacterium
Lineage: Bacteria
Description: partial 16S ribosomal RNA
Rfam family: Bacterial small subunit ribosomal RNA
Source: RNAcentral
UACGAAGGGGGCUAGCGUUGCUCGGAAUCACUGGGCGUAAAGCGCACGUAGGCGGCUUACUAAGUCAGGGGUGAAAUCCUGGAGCUCAACUCCAGAACUGCCUUUGAUACUGGUGAGCUUGAGUCCGGAAGAGGUGAGUGGAACUGCGAGUGUAGAGGUGAAAUUCGUGGAUAUUCGCAAGAACACCAGUGGCGAAGGCGGCUCACUGGUCCGGUACUGACGCUGAGGUGCGAAAGCUAGGGGAGCAAACGGG